GGCCCCAUCGUCUAGCGGUUAGGACGGCGGAUUCUCAUUCCGUCAACCGGGGUUCGAUUCCCCGUGGGGUCA
RNAcentral lists this transfer RNA (72 nucleotides) under Candidatus Falkowiibacteriota bacterium. RNAcentral's name for it is "tRNA-Glu". It matches the Rfam family "tRNA". From Rfam's summary of the family: Transfer RNA (tRNA) molecules are approximately 80 nucleotides in length. Their secondary structure includes four short double-helical elements and three loops (D, anti-codon, and T loops). The record is from RNAcentral. Lineage: Bacteria; Candidatus Falkowiibacteriota.